CUGGCAUAUUGAUUUUUCUAAUUAAUAUUCUAUGUACCGGGAAUGGUAUUUUUACUUUCUAUUUAUGGAGCAUCGAAUAGCACAACCACUAUAAGUGAUGUGCUGGUAUGUUACCUUAUAAAUGCUCAAGGUACAGCUUCUAAUGUUGAAAAAUAGAAAAAUAAAUUGACCUUGAUGAAGUGUGUCUUCUUUUGUCUGUUCCCAGGAAAGUUUAUUUCAGGUAUUUCUACUGCUGAAAUGAUUAGCGUUAACAGCUUUUUCCCUCCAUUUUAUUUUACAGGGUCUCUUCAUCUUCCUGAUAUAUGGGGUAUACAACACAGAGGCAUUUCUCGGCAUCCUCUGCUCUGCUCGGGGAGCGCAGAGUGAAUCCCAGCACAGAUCACACCGGGCCUAGCAGUGCGCGUUUUAUAAGGAGCCUAGGAGGCUGGGCAGCAGGGCCACGCGGCAAAGACUCCUCAGCCAGACUAGGUAUGCGGGCAUUUAAAUACCAUCCGAUGAUGAUGACGAAGUGUGUGUGUGUAGGUGUGUCCCACAGGGCGGCUGCCCCUGGAUUACACGCGGUUUCCUUUUCCAGUAGCCUUCAGGUAGGUUGGCAAGAAGACAACUUUUUUUUUUUUUUUGCAACGGUACCUGUAUUGCGGCUGCAAAGCAGGCUCCUCCUAUAAGUGCAAAGGACGCAUGCCCAUUAUUAAAAAGGUCUGCAAACUAAUCACAGAAGCGCAAUCUUUUUAUUUUUUUAAUUUUUUAAAUGUAUUUCUUUUCUUUCUUUCUCUUUUCUUUUCUUUUCUUUUUUUCUUUUCUUUUUAAUGGAUGCUGGGAGCAUCUGAAGUUGGCUGCUUUCAGG
This 844-nucleotide long non-coding RNA is filed under the name Canis lupus familiaris (dog). Its description in RNAcentral is "lncRNA (ENSCAFG00040010318.1)". The record is from RNAcentral. Lineage: Eukaryota; Metazoa; Chordata; Mammalia; Carnivora; Canidae.